CAGUCGCCGCGGGAAUACGUAGGUGGCAAGCGUUGUCCGGAUUUAUUGGGCGUAAAGCGAGCGCAGGCGGUUUCUUAAGUCUGAUGUGAAAGCCCCCGGCUCAACCGGGGAGGGUCAUUGGAAACUGGGAGACUUGAGUGCAGAAGAGGAGAGUGGAAUUCCAUGUGUAGCGGUGAAAUGCGUAGAUAUAUGGAGGAACACCAGUGGCGAAGGCGGCUCUCUGGUCUGUAACUGACGCUGAGGCUCGAAAGCGUGGGGAGCGAACAGGAUUAGAUACCCCGGUAGUCCCUGUCUCUUAUAA
RNAcentral lists this ribosomal RNA (301 nucleotides) under uncultured bacterium. RNAcentral describes it as "partial 16S ribosomal RNA". It matches the Rfam family "Bacterial small subunit ribosomal RNA", at positions 509 to 809 of the family's 1533-position model. The record is from RNAcentral.